AUACCUUCUCGGCCUUUUGGCUAAGAUCAAGUGUAGUAUCUGUUCUUAUCAGCUUAAUUUCUGAUAUAUCGGACACUGUCCGAUUGAGAAAUUAAACUAAUUUUUUGAUGGGGGCAAGGGGUUCCCCUCGUGCUUGCGCGAGUCCCUUGCCACGGGUUGCCCUGCUAUUGCACUACCGGCAGGCGCGGCCCAACCCAC
This 198-nucleotide small nuclear RNA is filed under the name Entosiphon sulcatum. RNAcentral's name for it is "U2 spliceosomal RNA". It matches the Rfam family "U2 spliceosomal RNA". Rfam says of the family: U2 is a small nuclear RNA (snRNA) component of the spliceosome (involved in pre-mRNA splicing). Complementary binding between U2 snRNA (in an area lying towards the 5' end but 3' to hairpin I) and the branchpoint sequence (BPS) of the intron results the bulging out of an unpaired adenosine, on the BPS, which initiates a nucleophilic attack at the intronic 5' splice site, thus starting the first of two transesterification reactions that mediate splicing. The record is from Rfam by way of RNAcentral. Lineage: Eukaryota; Euglenozoa; Entosiphonea; Entosiphonida; Entosiphonidae.